This 479-nucleotide ribosomal RNA is filed under the name uncultured bacterium. RNAcentral describes it as "bacterial SSU rRNA". It matches the Rfam family "Bacterial small subunit ribosomal RNA", at positions 364 to 835 of the family's 1533-position model. The record is from RNAcentral.
UUUCGCAAUGCCCGAAAGGGUGACGAUGCGACGCCGCGUGAGCGAUGAAGGCCUUCGGGUUGUAAAGCUCUGUUAGCUUGGAUGAAUGCAAGGAAGUUAAUACCUUUCUUGUUUGACGGUACAGGCAGAGGAAGCCACGGCUAACUCCGUGCCAGCAGCCGCGGUAAUACGGAGGUGGCAAGCGUUGUUCGGAUUUACUGGGUGUAAAGGUCAUGUAGGCGUUUUAGUAAGUCGGGUGUGAAAUCCCUUGGCUUAACCAAGGAACUGCAUUCGAAACUGCUAAAAUUGAGUACGGGAGAGGAAAGCGGAAUUCCGGAAGUAAGGGUGAAAUCUGUAGAUAUCCGGAAGAACACCAUUAGCGAAGGCGGCUUUCUGGUCCGAUACUGACGCUGAAAUGAGAAAGCUAGGGGAGCGAACAGGAUUAGAUACCCUGGUAGUCCUACCUGUAAACGAUGGGCACUAAGUAGAGGGGUUUUAGA